This is a long non-coding RNA of Pogoniulus pusillus (Red-fronted tinkerbird), 1220 nucleotides long. RefSeq lists it as uncharacterized. The transcript is spliced from 2 exons. NCBI's taxonomy places the organism in Eukaryota, Metazoa, Chordata, Aves, Piciformes, Lybiidae. The record is from RefSeq and is a predicted model, not a curated record.
CCUAGUAAUUUUAAAAUUCACUAAUGCUAAAAAGUUUGGGAUAUUGUAAAUUCUAUUUCAAGGAGGUUUUUCUUUAUUCCUCAGUCCUGCCUCUGGUUUCUCUAUUAAAUUUAACUUCCAAGUCUUGAAAACCACAUGUUAAUUUUUAUUAUCCUGUAGCACAAUUUCUAAUGAGAUGUAGGCAGAUAAUGGGAAAGAAACCACCAUGCUCUGUUCACCUUGUCUAACUGCUGUAUUAAUACUCGGAGAGGUAGAAGUUCCCAUCAAAUUUCCAGAGCAAAGUCUGAUGAUAAAACUAACAGUCAGGCAACAGCUUGUUUUAAUGUGGUCCACUGAAGUCGGUGGGGCUUUUGCCCCACACAGGGGGCCUGGAGCAGACUCAGCUUCAAAAUGUAGUGUUUAUCCCUCUCCCACCACGUCUGUAUUAGUGGAAGCUGUGGGCAUUAUCUCAAGCCUUUUGUCUUCAGAUUUUCCUUUGUUCUGGGAUGUCUCCGUUUAUCCCAUAUCUAGGGCAGCUGUUAGAGGUCAUCACCUGAUGAUUCCUCUCCAGGUUCGCCAGCGCGCCGCUGCCGUAACCGGAGCCCGCAUCUGCGGCGCGAUGUGGCGAGCCGGCCUCCGCAGCCCCGGCAGUACAAGCCGCUCAUUAUUGCCAAGUGGGAUCAGAGCACGUAGGUCUGUAGAGACACUGCGGUGCAUUGUAAGAGGCCUCUCUUCAGGGACAGGCAUGAAAGCCUCCUUUUUCCACCCUCAUUGAAAAAGAGCAGCUGUAUUCUUCUACCGCGGACAACGCCGAAGACUGCCUGUCUCUGCCACACAGAGGCUCUCUGGCUCAGCCGUGAAAGAGCGAACUUCAUUCUGGAGUCUGGACAGGAUUUCCCUGGGCAGGCUGAUGUUUUUGUGAGAGCUGUGCUUGCUCCUGUCCACAUAGCUCAGGAGAACUGCUGGGAAAGGUUUCUGAGUCUGUGUAUUGUUUGCUGACACCAAAGGUGUCUAACGAGCAUUUUGCAGCUCUAAGAGAGCUUUACAAUAGAAGACUGAGCAAAUACCUUUGACCUUAAAUGAUGACUAUAGCCAUUGCUUGUUAAAUAGGAGAGCUAGGUCACCUUCAAGUGCCAGCACUCCCUAAUUUUGUAGCUGUGGACCAGUCUAGUUUUCCCUCUUCAAAUCCUCACAAAGUGCAUGAUCAGUGAUAUAAAUAAACAGGCUUGCAAUGGUUAUUU